This 908-nucleotide ribosomal RNA is filed under the name uncultured ANME-2 cluster archaeon. Its description in RNAcentral is "bacterial SSU rRNA". It matches the Rfam family "Archaeal small subunit ribosomal RNA", at positions 1 to 905 of the family's 1478-position model. Lineage: Archaea; Methanobacteriati; Methanobacteriota; Methanomicrobia; Methanosarcinales. The record is from RNAcentral.
CUAGAAAGAUUCUGGUUGAUCCUGCCAGAGGCUACUGCUAUCGGGGUCCGACUAAGCCAUGCGAGUUGAGAGGGGUAAGCCCUCGGCAUAUUGCUCAGUAACACGCGGAUAACCUGCCCUUGGGUUUGGGAUAACCCCGGGAAACUGGGACUAAUACCGGAUAGAUCAAAGAUACUGGAAUGUUCUUUGUUCGAAAGCUCCGGCGCCCAAGGAUGGGUCUGCGGCCUAUCAGGUAGUAGUGGGUGUAACGUGCCUACUAGCCUACGACGGGUAAGGGUUGUGAGAGCAAGAGCCCUGAGAUGGAUUCUGAGACAUGAAUCCAGGCCCUACGGGGCGCAGCAGGCGCGAAAACUUUACACUGCGGGAAACCGCGAUAAGGGGACCCCGAGUGCCAGCACCUAGUGCUGGCUGUCCAGCUGUUCAAAAAACAGUUGUUAGCAAGGGCCGGGCAAGACCGGUGCCAGCCGCCGCGGUAACACCGGCGGCCCGAGUGGUAGCCGUUAUUAUUGGGUUUAAAGGGUCCGUAGCCGGCCUAUUAAGUCUCUUGGGAAAUCUGGCGACUCAAUCGUCAGGCGUUCAAGAGAUACUGGUAUGCUUGGGACCGGGAGAGGUGGGAGGUACUCCAGGGGUAGGGGUGAAAUCUCGUAAUCCUUGGGGGACCACCGAUGGCGAAGGCAUCCCACCAGAACGGGUCCGACGGUGAGGGACGAAAGCUGGGGGCACGAACCGGAUUAGAUACCCGGGUAGUCCCAGCUGUAAACGAUGCUCGCUAGGUGUCAGGUGCGGUGCGACCGCAUCUGGUGCCGUAGUGAAAACUUGAAGCGAGUCACCUGGGAAGUACGGUCGCAAGGCUGAAACUUAAAGGAAUUGGCGGGGGAGCACUACAACGGGUGGAGCCUGCGGUUCAA